Molecule: ribosomal RNA, 1005 nt
Filed under: Triticum aestivum (bread wheat)
Lineage: Eukaryota; Viridiplantae; Streptophyta; Magnoliopsida; Poales; Poaceae
Description: partial small subunit ribosomal RNA
Source: RNAcentral
AUGGCGACGGAACCUGUAGAGUUUCAGGUUGUGGUGCUCAGGGUGUCCAUCCAUUGUGAAGGGUGCAAAAAGAAGGUGAAGAAGGUGCUCCUACAUAUUGAUGGCGUAUACAGAUGUGACAUCGACGCCCGAAGAAACAGGGUGGCGAUCACAGUCUCUCCAAAGAUCGACGCCGGGAUCCUCGUCGCAAGGCUGCGCAAGUCCGGCAAACUGGCGGAGCCUUGGCCGGAGGAGCCCAAGCAGCAGCAGGAGCCGCCUCCUCCUGCAGAGAGCCAAAGCCAAGAAACCAAGAACCAAGCAGAUGAUGCCAGCAAGCCUAACGAGGCCGCCGAGAAGCCCGCCGCCGAGCCAAGCACAGCCCAGCCUCCGGCGCCGGAACCCGAGAAGACCGCCGAAGAGACCCCACUGCCGGCCGAAGAAAGCAAAGGGCCCGACGAGGCCAAGGCGGAGACAGGGCCGCAGCAACAACCCAGCGGGGCGAACGGGAAAGCCAAGCAGCAGCAGCAGCACCAGGAGCAGCAUGAUCAUCAUGAUAAGCCGAUGGACGCCAGGGUGACGAUGGAGUACGACGACGCCCGCGGCAGAGGCGUCUACGGCUACGGGGCCCCCCACCAGUACAUGCCAGCGACACGGCAGCCGCCGGUGCACGUCAUGAGCUACAACGUGGCACGGCCGAUGGCGAGCUCGUCAUACUACGCCGCCGCGCCGACGCCGGCGGCGAUGCCGAUGCCCACUCCCAUGGCGAGGCCAGGGCCGUCGCACGGCGGCUACAUAGACGAGUACGCGCCUCCGAACUACUACAGCCGGCCGGCGCCAUCGGCGUACGAGCCCUACUACUACCCCGAUCCCCAGCCGUCGCCGUACCAGCAUCAGCAUUCUGCGGCCGAGGACUACUACUACGGAGCACCGCCGCCGCCUCCGCAGAGGAGCGCCUUCUCGCCGCCGCGGGAGGCUUACGGCGACAUGUUCAACGACGAGAAUGCCAAUUCUUGCAGCGUGAUGUGA